UGCCUACGGGGGGCAGCAGUGAGGAAUAUUGGCCAAUGGGCGAGAGCCUGAACCAGCCAAGUCGCGUGAGGGAAGACGGUCCUAUGGAUUGUAAACCUCUUUUGCCGGGGAGCAAAAAGCGGUACGUGUACCGCAUCGAGAGUACCCGGAGAAAAAGCAUCGGCUAACUCCGUGCCAGCAGCCGCGGUAAUACGGAGGAUGCGAGCGUUAUCCGGAUUUAUUGGGUUUAAAGGGUGCGUAGGCGGAUUUUUAAGUCAGCGGUAAAAUGUCCGGGCUCAACCCGGGCCGGCCGUUGAAACUGGGGA
Molecule: ribosomal RNA, 305 nt
Filed under: uncultured bacterium
Lineage: Bacteria
Description: bacterial SSU rRNA
Rfam family: Bacterial small subunit ribosomal RNA
Source: RNAcentral